Non-coding RNA from Rattus norvegicus (Norway rat), 13228 nucleotides. The record is from RefSeq and is a predicted model, not a curated record. Lineage: Eukaryota; Metazoa; Chordata; Mammalia; Rodentia; Muridae.
AGGAACUUCCGGUGGCUUUCAUUUCCUCACUAUUGACUCAGAAACUAGCAUGACAGUGCACAUGACUCAGCAACUUCUUCCGAAGCAGGACGUUAAGUUGGAUAGGCAUAUUCCGGGGAGAAGGUAGCCGAGUCAUAUGAAAAACCAAUGUUUCCAAUUUUUGAGUAUCGUCCAUACUGAGUUGUCUCUGAGGACCCACCAGUUUGUAGUCCAACCAAUCCUUGCAAAAUAUUCCUAUUUUAAUUUAUUUUUGAAAACAGAGAUGAAUAAAAUGAUAAGAAAUGGGUCUCUUACAAUCCGGAAGCAUCUCCGAUACUUGCUGUUCUUGGACUACUUCAUCAUUUCCUAUCAAAGGUUAAGACAUAAUUGUUUGAGCAUUGAAUAAAUGGAUAAGAAACACAAGUAAGAGAAAGAAACAAGAUUGAAAUGUCUACAUCCGAUGUUAUUUCUAAAGUUAUGUUUUAGAUCUGCUUUCAAGUGAGCUGCUUUAAAUAUAAAUAACACGCAAAGAUGGUGUAGAGCAACAGAGAAAACAGUGAUAGUCGUUUGCAAAUGGCUCCGAAGCAACUCCAGGAUAACGAAAUUUAAUGAUCUCCUCCUACAAUUUUAUAAGUAUAUGCUCAAGUACAUGAAACAAAUACUCAAGUCACAGAGAACAACUUCCAGUACAAGGAUUGAGUUAUAUCUAAAUGAGUGACUGUCAAAGGGAGUCCCAUAUGAACCCCCAAACAACCCAGACUGUUGCUGAAACAAUAGAUUAUUCUUCUCAAAGUAACAGCAAGGCACCAUUGCUGAAAACAACACCCACACAACCCAUUGAACAUGAAGAAAUAGAGCUGGUGUCUAUACAGAGCCUUCAUUUUUAUGUGCUAGCAUCCUUGGUACAGCAAGGUACUCUGUCUGCUUCCAAAAAAGAAACUUAAACACCAAGAAAACUACGAACCCUCUGAUCUACGAUGGUUUCUUACCUGCAAGAGGUGCUAAGGCAAUGGUGGCAAAAAAAACAUUGUGGGAAUAAUCAACCAAUAAAUGAUUUGACUUAAGGCCCACUUCACAAUUUGGAACCCAUGUCCACCACUACUUGGGUGAACAAGGAGAAGAAACUAGGUAACCCAAGGAUCUAGAGUAAAACCAAAUAGUACUGGCCUAAAAAAAAUACUGACAAAAUGUUUCCUAAUAAUAUUGUGUUAUAGUCAUAGAUGGGUCAGUACCUUGUUUAGCCAUUAUCAGAGAAGAUUUUUCCUGUAACAAUUGAGCACAGAUAUGGAAACACACAGCAAGACAUUACACAGAGAGUAAAAAAUCUUGGAACACUCAGCCUUAAAUGGGAUGCCUUUAUCAAACUCCUCCCUGAGAGUCAACAGAACACUGCAGGAGAGGCUGAAAGAAUGGAGGCAAGAGGUGGAGGGUUUGCAGGACAUCCCAAGAAAACACAGCCUUCUAAAUCAACAUGAGCAGAUCUCAUGUGAACUCAGAAAACCUGAAGCAACAUGAACAGGGUUUGCCCAGGUCGGGACCAGGUCUUCUGCAUAUAGUGGCUUCCAUUUUUGGGUUUUUAUGGGAUUCCUGAGUGUGCAAACAAGUGGGUCUCUGAUUCUUGUGUCUUCUCAUGGCUGCUUAUCCUUCUGUUGGUCUAUCCAGUCCAGUAUUGAUAUGAUAAUUUUUAUUUUAUCUUAUGUUUUAUUUUAUUAAAGUUUAAUAUUAUCUCUUGGAAACCUAUUCUUUUCUAAUGAGAGAUAGAAAAGGAGAGGAGCUACACCAGAGGAGAGGGAAAGGAAACCGUAAUCAGGUUAUAUUAUAUGAGAAAAGAAUAUAUUUUCCUUUGUAUAAAAGGAACAAUAAUAAUAACAUAGAAAGCUCAUGCUGCCUCAUCAUUCAAGUAUUAUAUUUAGUAUACUGUGACAUUUUAAUUAGCAAAUCUUUAAAUUUAGUUCUCUGUAGUUAAUAGCUAUGAUUCAAACAUUUUCCACUUUCAUCUUCUUUCCUUUAAAUCAAGCUAAAUGUAUUGGCAGAAAUUUGGCAGAAAAAAAGGAAGUAAUAUUACUGUGAUUUGCAGCUACCACAAGUAAUUUUUAAGUUUGGUUUGCUAUCUUUUCCAGAAUGUAUUCCUCAUCCCAGAACCUACAAGGUACUUGCACAAUGCUCUAGGCUCAGUCAAAAUUCUCAUUGUUUUCAAGUGUGGCAUGGACAGUUUUGAGUCACAAGCAAUAAACUCUUCUAUUCUACCUUCCAUAGAAAUACGAUUAGGCUUUUUCAGUUGGCAUGCACUAGGUCAUAGAAUCGUGACCAUAUUUGAAACUUAAACUCUAGGAACUACAUAAAAUUGAAUGAGUAAAUAUUAUGCUUGGUGAUUUUAAGUGGAUGAGUAAUAUCCUUAGAUUCUUUCCAUAUCAUAACUCACAAAUGCAAUAAACAGAAUUGAAAAUCUAUCAAUAGAUGUAUUUGAUCCCAUCAUUUGCCUAAGAAGGUAUUAAGACACUUGAUGUUUAUAAAUAUGUCUAGAAAAGCAACAAAGAAUAACAAACAAUGAAGGAGUAAGGAAUAAGAAUAUAUAUAUAUAUAUAUAUAUAUAGUCACAGCAUUAAAAACAAACAAGGAAUAUAUUCUGGUCUUUUGAAAAGUUUUAAUCAUUAUUUGAACAAUUUAGAAACAGAUAUGUAGAAUUCAGGGGCAAAAUUCUUUUACAAUGUUCUCAGAAAUACUCCAGUUGAAAAGCUGGGACCCCUCACUGAAUUGUUUUCCUGCCUUUCUCUUAUGCUGUAUUAAAUAUUCUCUAUGCUUGUUGAACAGUUCCUAAAGUAAUUAUAUGCAAAAUAACAGCAAGCAGUAUCCAGGAUAGACUUUGAAAAACCUGAAAGAAAACAGUGAUUCAGUCCCUGUCACAUGCUGACACGUGUUGGAAUCGGAAUAUGAUGGCAACAUGCUUUCCUGGGAUUGAAUUUUUAGACAUUAGAAAGGUAUUUUAACAACUCCAGGGCUGAUGGUGAGAGUGUUUUCAUCAUUACCAGUGAGAGAUUGUGAAGGACAGCUCCACUCCAAUAAAAUACAUGCAGUUGAGUAUAAAGGGUAUCUAUCCGGAAAUGUCAUCAAUAAUAGAAUGUAACAUUUAGUGAGGCUCAAAUGCACAGUGCCGACCUUUUGCUUAAUAGACAAGCAGGAGACACUGGGCAUAUGCAUAGAAGCUCCUUCAAAUUUAGAAACAAUAUCCCUACUCAUUGAAUAAAAGCAUGCCCCCCCCUCUCUGUGUGUGUGUGUGUGUGUGUGUGUGUGUGUGUGUGUGUGUGUUUAGUCAGCGUACUAUAAAUAAGGCAACCCUCCAGGUGCUAAUGACUCUUGAAAAUCUCAAUUGCAGCCCCCCAAGGAUGUUAUCAAUGCAAGGAUGGCAGAGAUCUAGGAGACCAAGUAGGCUUUUCCUUGUCUCCCCCUUGUGUGGCAUGCUUCCGGAGUGAUAUCUCUUUGAAGGCUGGUAGUCAAUGACGGCUUAAAUCCUGGAAGACAGGACAACCUAAGACAGAUAGAGUCCAGUAUGCUGGGAAUCCACUGAGGUGGGUGUCAGCAAUGUUCAGGCCAUGGCACCCUGGCUCCUGCUAGGCUGUCAAAAUCUAAAAGCAAAAGGGUAGAGAUGUAGCAGGAAUGACAGGGCCUCCUCUGUAUAAAGGUUGGGGGACCCUGCAGCUGUGAAAGCAUCUCCUGCAGGAGGACCAAAUUGAAGACUUCCUGAGACACCAACUUCCCUGCAGGAGGACCUAAUUUAGGGCUGCUUGAGAGAACAAUGAUUGUUGGUGUAAAUAGUGCUAGCCAAUCAGGAACUGCUGCUUGGAAUAGAUACUUCCUUGGAACCAAUGUGGGUGGGGUGGGUGAAGGGUGUUAAAGGAGCUUGCAGCAGUGCUCUGAUGACUUUGAGACAGACAGCAUUUUUCACCUGCUCCCAGUGUCUGUGCCAUUGGCUCUGCAUCAACUCACCCCCAACCCCAUGGGCAGGAAGGGUCAGAUAGGGUCAGGUGGAGAGCUGUCCAGGUCAUAGGCAACCUCUCACCUAACCUCCCUCUCUUUAUAUGCAAGGUCUCAAGGGUAAGCCCAAGUUGAUUUGCAAUUCAUGAUCCUCCUGACUAAGCCUGCUGAAUGCUGGGAUUACUGGCAUGUAUCACCAUGUCCAACUUAGAAUAUGCAUUUUCUCAAGAACCCUGAUGAAUUAUUUGCACAUAAAACUCAAUGUGAAGCAAGACUGUUCAUUGUAGAAAAUACUCCCUAGAUGUUAAUGGGUUUUUAAAUCUAGGGGAACCACAAAGAAGUUUAACACAAAUAGUUAAUUAAAAGCAAUAAAAAAGGGGCUAAUAUAACUUAAAGCAUACAACCACUCUUUUGGAUGGUAGGUAUAUAUGAGAUCUAGGCAAUGACUAUUAUAAAUAAUGAAUACUUAAGUUGAAAUAGAGAAAUACAACUAGUAAUAUAUUUCUUCCAUUUGCUUUUCAGAUCAAGUAGACUUAACAAAUUUAAAAGUGUACCUAGAAAUUACUACUAAAUCUUGUGGUUUUGUUAUGUCAGUGCUAAAAUAAAAAGUGUUUUCUCUAAAAUGUUUGAAAUUUUAUAACCAAAUGGCAAUUUCCAUCAGAGACACACAGAAACAGAGACAGAGAGACACAGGCAGAGAGAGAGAGAGAGAGAGAGAGAGAGAGAGAGAGAGAGAGAGAGAGAGAGAGAAAGAGAGAGAGAGAGCAGGUCAGAGUAUACAACGGGUAAGAAUGUACAAAGCAAGCAGAAAAAAAAUCACAAGAUUUCUAGAACAAUGGAGAAUAUAGUAUCUUAGGAUUCCCUGAUUUUAUAGGAAGAAAAUGUAUUUUAUACUUAUUUCUGCUACAAAUCAUUCAUAGUAGUCAUGUGUUUGAAUAGUCUAGAAUAAAUAAAAUGAAUAAUUACAAUAUUUAAAUUUAAACAUUUCACUGAUUAGGAUACAUAUAUGUUGUAAUUAGCUUCGUAUAUAAACCUGAUACAGCCUAGAGAUCUCUAAAGAAAUUUUAAGUGAGGAAUUGCCAAAAUCAUAUUGGCCUGUGGUGAUAUCUGUUAGAUACUGUUGGCAUUAAUGAUUGAUGAGAGAGGUCCCAGCCCAUUGUGGGCGACACCAUCAUUAGACAGGUGGGCUUGGGUUGUAUAAGAACGUUAGCCGAACAUGACAAAAUGAGCAAGCUGGACAGCAAUCCAUCAAGCCAUGUUUCUCCACGUUUCUUGCCUCUGGGUUCCUCUCUUCAAUUCCUACCUUGAUUUUCCUCAAGGACGGAUCUGAAUGAGACACAUAAAGUGAAAUCAACAGUUCUUCCCCAAGUUGCAUUUGGUCAGAGUAAUAGCAGUAAAAGGUAAACUAGGGCAAUGUCUUCUUGCAAUAUUAUAUAUGUACUACUCUCAAUAUGUAUAGUAAUUUCAUUAAAUGUUAUGGAAAUAUUCAUCUUUAAAAUAUUUUGAUCACUGUCUUUUCCCAUAGGCUUAGCAGUAUUUUAUUAUUUUUAAGGACUAUAUUAAUUCUCUAAGAUAGUGCUGAUUCUGUUUAGUUAUUUGAAUUUAGAAUGUUAAGUCUCCUGGUGUGAACAAUUGAGUUUUUAAGAGGUUUCGUUUUGUUUGUUUUUAUUUAGUAAAUUUUCACUGGCAAAAUAUGCCAUUAAGCCAUGAUCUUACUGUGCACAAUAUCAAAUAUAAGAAGCCAACCUUAGCUAUCUUCUGGUUAUUGCAAGAGGGAGGAAAAUUUAAGCAAGUUAGUACUUCAUUUUAGCUCUGUGCACAUUUGCUUUUGAAUAUAGCUGUUUCCAAGGAUGUAUCAAGCAGCCUUUGUUUGAUUGGUUACUUAGGUAAUUACUUCCUAAACACGAUGAAGAUUUUUCUUAAAGUAAUGUGUUCAGGUUGUCCAAAUCAGAUCCAACUAGACAUUGCUAGAAUCUCAAUGGCUGGAAUUCAAGAAGUCAAACUUACUUAAGUAUAUCCCACAUGAUUCUCAAGUAUAUUAAAGCUUGGAAAUCAGGGAGAUCUUUACCUUACUAUAAAGAACAGUUUCUCUUUGGAACAAAAAUUAUGGCAUAGCAAUUUAAUAAUCUUUGUCUUCUGAAUUUCUGUAUCAUUAUAAGGGAACUAUUCUAGAAUACCCAUGGAAAUUAUUGAGAGCUAAUUUUUGAUAGUUUUGUAAGGAUUAAGAUGUAUUGCAGCAUGAGGCAAAUAUUGACCUCAGUGCUGGCCUAUUAUUCAUCCAUUACUUGUGUUCAUCUUCUUUGCCACAGCAGGAGACAUCUGACACGUCUCUACCUGUGGCCACAUCGCUUUAGCCAUUUACCUGGAAUACAUGGGAGGAAUUGGAAAGCAGCAGUAUUGAUGGGAAGAAGAGUAGAAAAAUUGAUUUAUAUAGCAAGGUAAAUAGCUAGCGUUUAAAAAAAUCAAAUGACACUUUAAGAAAGUAACUUGAAUCAUAAAACCAAAAAACAAAACAAGCGAAACCAAGCAAGUUUGAUUUGUGAUGGAAGUCUUAUCAGCAGAGGUCAACCAACCUUUAUGGAAUGGGUGAAUUUGUAUUCCAGGGAAAUGACAUAUAUUCAUCUCACUGAAUACACAUAUUCUAGUAGGCACUCCUAUAGAGAAAAAGUUUACAGUAAAGAAAGAAAAACAGGGCUGACAACAAGCAUGGGCUCCUAACUGUGUCUCCUGGGAAAAUAACCAAAAAUAGCUCUUUGUUUUAAGUAAAACUGAGCAGAAGUAGGAGAUUUCCUAUGACCUUUAAAGUGAUAGAGUCCCAUGGGUGAGGCAGGUCGAGAAGGGCACGAAGAGGCUUGGCUUGGACAAAAGCCUGCAGAUCUUCCUCAUCCAACGUAAGGCAGAUUCAUAAGUCACAACUCACUCUUAUUGUAAAGAACAGAACACAGCAGAUAGGUAGGAUUUUUUUGGUUUUGUUUGGCUUUGAUUUUUCUAUUUUAGAGGUUGAUUGAUUAUAUUCUGUUUUGAAUAAUUUAUAUUUGAUAUGACUUAAUCUUUCCUUUAUUAAAAUCAGCAAAGUAGUGCCAAAGAGAUGGCUUAGUGAGUUAGUCUGAUUCGUUUGAGUUGGCAAGACGACAAGACUUAAAAUCAUCUGUGAGGAGUCCCCAAUGAGGGACUGCCUUCAUCAGGUUGGCCUGUGACCAUGGUGGCUGGUUGUCUUGAUGUCAUUACUGAUGUGAGAGAACCAACUCUAAAAGUGUCCAGAGUCACUCUCUAGGUGUGGGUUCUGGUAAAAAAUGAUCUCAACACUGAAAACCAUGUAUUAUUCCUUUCUCUCUCUUGCUCUUAAAUGUAGAUGUGACUAACAAUUUCAAGUUUCUGCCUGAACUUUGCUAAAAUGAUGGACUCUAGUCUGGAAUUGUCCCUUAAAGCUGCUUCAGUGACAGUAUUGUAUCAUCGGAAUAGGAAAAGACACAGGGCUCUUGACACCAUGUCAGACGAUUUGAGUUCUCCCCCAUCACCAACACAGUAGAAAGGGAGAGCUGGUUGCCAGAGUUGUCUGGUGAUCUACAAAUGCACACCACAGCAGAGACAUACAUAUAAAGAAAUAAAUGUAAAAUAAUUUAUAUCAUCUAUAAAAACAUCCAUCAAAAAAGAAUUCUUUAAAAAAUUUUAUUUGUCUAUAUCCAUUAUCCAUGACACUGUGUUGUACAAGAGCAUUUUCAUACAUGAAGGUACCAAACUUCGAAACUUAACCUCCAUACUCCACCUUUCCCCAUUCUCCACACCUCCCUUCUCCAUUGUUCCUCUAGAAAGUUUGGCUUCUAACACACACACACACACACACACACACACACACACACACAUCACAGACCUAAUUUAUUCAAUAUGAUUAUCUCAACUGAUCUGUUUUCUGCAAAUGACAUGAGCUUGCUAUGGCUGAAAAGUAAACAACAAUAUAUAUAUAUGUAUUAUUGUUUAUAUACCCCAUUUCUUUAUGCUUCCCUCUGCUGAUGGACAUCUGUGUUUGUUCUACAAUUUAGCUACUGAGAAUAGAAUACAUGGUCCCUUGAAUUCUGUGCUGUCAUUCUCAGAAGCACAAUGAAGACUCUCUCAGGAGGAAGAUUUUUCUCUUAGCCUUCUACAGCCUUACCCUGACUUCUACUCACAGGAGCCUGACUUUCUCUAAUGGUGCUUGAUGGGCAUCUAGGAAAUCUGAUUUCAUCUUUACAUAAAGCUGCUGCCAAGAAGUCACCAGUGUACGGCAUGACAGGCAGCAAAGUGGAGGAGAGGAACUGACCGUCAAGUCACUCUGAGGUUUCCCUGGUGGUACUUCGGACUAACUUUUGUGUGCGCUGCUCCCAACUGAUCAGCCUUAAAGGAGAUAUGCCUGGCUGUCAAUCCCUGAUGCUUGAUUUCCACAGCUACAGAGUUCCAGUGAGAUGCUGGGGAGUGUCACUUACACAGAAAGGCACUCACAUUACCUCCAGACAUUUCUAUUCCCCUAAUAGGAUAUGAAAGUGCGGAUUAACGCCUUUUGCAUAGCAUUAAAAGCCUGAGAAGGAGAAGCCUUGUUUUGGCCACAAGGGGCCUCCUCCUCAUUUCUGCUCUCUGCUGCCUCAGCUAAUUACUUUCCUUCCUUUCACACUUGAAAGAUGAGUUUUGACUUCACAGAAAAUGAAUUUAAAACAGAGAGUUGGUGUAGCCUCCACAGUUUGGAUGGUUGCCAUGGUGCGCUGUUUCACCUGUAAUUGAAAGUCAGACAACAUGUGGCUUCCAAAAAAAAUGGAAAACUCUUUCUGUUUGAUUCCCAAAAGGCUAAUACUAACAGCUGCUAAAGAGAGACGAAAUGACCGACACCAGAAGGCCAAAUAAGUAAAAGUUUGUGGAACUUAGUUAAGAGUCACCCCUGUGUAACCAUGAAGAGCAAGGAUUCCUUUUAGAAUUUGUCUUUAUCUGUCCCGGAGCCAGGUAUAUGAUUGACAGGUGCCGCCAUAACUUCAAGCUUUAUAGGCGAGAAGAGCCAUGCAAUAUUAACCACCCUUGGUAUUAUUAUCAACUAAUGUUUGUGACUGAUAAAGAAUCAGGCACGGAGGCUAAAUUUACUAAAUGCCUAAUAUAGAUUAUUCUGUUACAUCCUGGCAAAUUUAGUAAAGUUUAAUAGUGGGGUGCACGCUUAACAUGGUAAGAAUGAAAUUACUGGCUUAAUAUUAUUUAUUUAGACAGGAGAUCUUAGAAAAAAUAUAAUUUGUCUGGUCAGGAGUCAUUUUCAUUCUCUUUAAAAGAUUCAUUUCUUCUUACGUUUUAUGUGUAUGAGUGCUCCACCUGCAUGCAAGGCAGGUGCCCAAACAGGUCAGGAGAUGGUGAAGCAUCCUCUGUCAUUAGAAUUAAUAAGGUUGUGGGUACCAUGUAAGCAAUGGGCACAGAACCAGGGGUUUCUCUAAGAGUAGGAAGUAUUCUUAACUGGUGAGUUAUCUCACCCCCCAGAAGUAAAUUUCUCAAAAAAUUAAUUCUUGAAAUACAUAAAAACACAUAAAGAGCCCAACAGAGCCCCCAAGCAACAGAUUUUACAAACACCCAACAACGUCCCUAUAAGGAAUGCUUAAAGGUCAAGAAGCCCUAUCCAUAAGGCCUUAGUUCACCUUUCCCCCCGAACACUUUCAUGUGGAGACAAAAGGGUUAUUCAAAGACAUUAAAAUACAUGGACAUAGAGGGCAGGGAAAGGAAGGAUACUUUUUGGACAUGCUCGGCAAUGGGGCCAACUGCUGCUUCACAGUGUAAGCCUUUGCUUAUCUAAGUUUCUCCGUUUUGAAAGAUGCCUUUCAGUUGUUGGACUCCAGGACUGACCUCACCUCAUGAGAACUCACCCUACUCCUGGAAUCUAAACUGAUUCCUGCUCCUUCCCUGGAACCUUGUUUUAUGACCUCCAAAGGAAUAGAGAUUUGUAGACAAUCUGCUACCCAGGGAAUGUAGGUCCCGCCAAGACCCACUCGCCUCCUUUUCCAGUCUUAGACCUUGCCUCCCUGCAGCAGGAUCGCCACACUCUCUUCUCAGUGGAACGAGAGGAUUGGGAAUUAGGCUGUGAGGAAAAGUAUGCCGUAAAGUUACCAGCUUAAUUAAGUCAUUACAGUUUUUAGGGUUUUUUAAAUACAGGCAAUUUGAAUGUAUAAUUGAGUCUGAGCACAGCCUGGUCCCGUGUUUUCUUUGGUCUGCUCAGAAGCAGAUUGUGAAUGGAAACAGCAGGGAUAGCAUCCUGUGCAAAGAGCAGGUUCCUUAUUUUCCCUGGAGCUCAGACACGAGUUUAUGAACCAUUUUCUGGUUCGUCUAGGGGUAAGGGAACAAGAUGACAGGCUCAGAGGACAGCCCCAGGAGUAGUGUUUUUCUUGACUCUGAGCGUCUCCCUGAUGGUUCUAGGAAUCACAUCUGACUUACGCUUCAGUAGAGCCGGCUACAGAAUACGCUUCGGGAAUGUUCUCUUUAGAAAAAAAAUGAUUCUGAGCUGAGCCCUGAGGUCAGUUAGGAAACCAAAGGGAAAGAUUACAACUCAAUGCUCUUCGAGUCUGAGUAGCAGAGGAUAAGGUCAAUUUAAAUCUCCCUUUGGGAGAGACAUACUUGUGGGAAAAGUAGAAAAGGCCACUAACCUAGCUUCACUAGGUUAGCGACUUGCCUGUGCUCUAAGUACCACCCAUGACUUUGCAGACAUGGUAAUUUUACCAUGCCUUCCUUCAAGCAUGUCAUGGUUUUGUUUUAGAAACAUUUCAGAGGAUUAUCUUGUAACUCAGAUGAACUGUCUUGCCCAGUGCCCACUGCACAAGUAAAUAUGCAGACAGAGAAGAGCUGAAGGUUGGAGGAGAAAGGGUUGUGAGUGCUGAUACAUGUUUCCAUCUGUCGACAAUCGCAUCUACUCCCUUUAAGACCCGUUCAGGAUGAGAGAGUUGAUGUGGGCUGGCAGAAAUGAGAUUGAGCUUGACCUGGGAUCGAUGCCAGCCUAUCAGUGAAGAGAAAAACCUCAGAAAACAAGAAAAACACAUACAUUUAAAACUUACACACCCGUCUUCUAAUGUCUCCAUAUAAAUGACUAUGGAGACUUUUGUGGGAUUAGAAUCUGAAUCUUCUAGUUUCUGAUACAAGUCUAUGUAAACUAGGAUUGCAAUUUGACUUGCAUUUGAAGCUGGGACUGUCUGGCUUCUCAAACUGUAGCAUCCAGGGAAAUGAUUUGUAAACUCCCAAGCACGCGAACACGAUCUCUUCCCUCCUAAACGUUACUUGAUUAAAUCUUACUUUAUGUAAAUUCAGUGUGAGAACUUGGAUUUCUUGAAAUAAAACGUGCACCAUCGCCAUCGAGUAUAUUUUAAACAGAUUCCCUAAUGAGCUUAAAUUCUUGAAUUAAAAGGAAACUAUGAUGAACGCACAGAGCUCCGAGUAAAUACCGAGUCCUGCAUUAUGCAGAGAUAAUCAGAUGGGAAAGAUGUGGUUGUGGAGGCAAGAAUGAAUGCCAAAUGCAUGAGUUAGGUUCCAGUUCUAAAUAAUGUUUCCCUGGAAUAUGUUUACAUGCAGUAGGGAAGUUCUUGGUGGAUCGCCUGAAAAUAGGGCUAGUGUUUUUUGCGGAUGGUGGGUUUGGUCUGUUGAUGUUUGUUUUAGAUGGCCAUGUUUAUGCCUUGCUGUGAAGAAUACUGGAAAGCAAACUCUCUGUGACAAAUUGGAUCUUGGACAGACAGGCUGGGUAGGUACCGUUAAAUCUGUAAGGGCUCGAUUUCUCUGUCUCUGACACUCAUUCCUUCAUUGCCAACCCCAGGUAUGAUCAAGUCAUACAAAAAAACAUGUGGUGGUGUUCUUUGGCUUUCUCGUACAAAAUUCAUAGAAAUUCAUUCAUUCAUUAUUCAUUAUUCAUAUAAAAAUUAAUUCAUAUUUUUCCACAUGUACAUCGGCAGCUCCUCAGAUUUCCGAGUAUCACUCUUUCAUCAUAAGGUCAUUAAACCCCACAAUUCUGAGGCGUUAUUGAAGCUAGGUUAGUAACUUGCCCUUUAAUGUUGUAAAGUACACCUGUGUUGAUAGCAAAAUAUGACUGGUCUAAAUACUGAAAGGGACCUAUAUUUCUACCUUAAGGGCUUAUUAAAAAAUAUAGGUUCAUCAGAUCCAUAGGUGGCAGUAAAUCUGAUGCCUCUAGUCUAAACCGAAGAUAUCACGUUGAGGGUCUGUGACCACGAGGACCAAAUUGCCUGUGAGAAGUACAAUAGGUAUUCUAGACAUGUUUGUCAGGAAGUCACAGGGUACUGGUUUCUGGCUCAAUGAGGCCUUGAGUCAGCUUAGUAGGAAACAUGGGCUAUGGGCAGUAAGACAAGGUUAAGUGCAUUAGACGCCUAUCCAACCCUUCUUAAGCUCUUUGGCUAAAAACUAGACAUAUUCCAGGUGCCCAGUGGAUGGCUACGUAAAUAAGAUUUUAAAGGAUGGGCUCUGCCAGCUCACAAAGUCUUAUGCUAGGGAAAACAUAAAGAUAUGGCCUUGAGGUGCUUGGCCAUGAGCUUUGAAUUUAUCUUACAUAACCAGGUCAUGACUGGAGAGGGGGGAAUUCAGCUUCCUAUAAUGCUCUGUUGCAUGUCUUAACAUUUGUAAAGAAGGCCCUAAGGGAAGGAAGUUCUUUAUAAAUGCUAUAGAUUUCUGGGCUGCCUCUCUUCAGGUAUAGUCCUUUGAGAUCAGGUAAUCAAGAAGAAUGGGGUAGUUUAGAAACAUCUCUAUAAGGAAAUGGGUGACUGGAAUGGUUUGCAGAUCCGCCUUGGAACAGUUAUGUUAGACAUAUGCAGUCAUGACUUGAUUAUCAACCUAUGGUGUGUACAAAUAAAGUGGAUCUUGCAUGCAUAAAAGAGAGGCUCACAGGGCUGCGUGCAGAUAGAAUUCCUAAAAUAGAUCUUUGUUGUUGCCAAUACCUGUAGUAUUGGAGACUGGAAAGAGAUACUCUCCUUUGUAGUCUUCAUUGGAUCUUUAUAUAUUUUUUAUCUUUUUUCUCUUUUGAAGAAAUAACCCAACUUACUACUAUAUGUAAGGUAGCCUAGAAAGCCAUUUGAUCGAUGUUAAAAUAAGUUGAACAGUCUGUACUAAAUUCAAAGUGGAAGUUCAAGUGCGAAGCCACAGUGUUUAUAAAAUUACAGAUAAAAAAGGAAAAAGAAGAUGAACGAAAGAAAGAACAGGUGGGAGAAAAUCAAACCAAACCAAACCAAGCCAGGAACAACGACAGCAACAGCAACAACAACAAUAAAAAAUUCAAAACACCGGAAUGCUUUAA